Molecule: long non-coding RNA, 670 nt
Filed under: Eucalyptus grandis
Lineage: Eukaryota; Viridiplantae; Streptophyta; Magnoliopsida; Myrtales; Myrtaceae
Description: long non-coding RNA (EGRA_LNC006300)
Source: RNAcentral
CCCCAUAAUGUCUCCACCAAAUUCAAGCUCACUUAAUCCAGAAGCAACGAGUUCACCGUGCACAAUGAGAGAAGUGAGAGCAAAGGAGCUUCCUUUACCUCCUUGCGAUUGUCGGAGAGUAGAAAAGAUAGUUAUAAAAGUCAAAAAAAUGACGACACAACUAGUAUUCGCCCCCAUGAUAGAUGAAUCAGUACAUUGAGGUACUAAAACCAGCAUCCAGCUUGUCGUCACAUUGAUCCACAUAAUCAAAAGUAAUUGAUAAUUGCUGCCGGCUUACAAUGCCUCUACUUCUUUCAUCUCUUGAAUAUAUACUUAGCCUUCUUCUCCCAUCAUGAACUCACCCUCCAAGAGCCAAAACCAUAUCCAGCAUAUUAUGCAAAAAGCAUGGUGACUCUGACAAACAAUAAAAGCAUAUGAGAGCCUCCAAGAAAACAUAUGCAAAACAGUAUAUAUAAGAACUCUACAAGACUAAAAGAUUAGCAUGAUUUACCUUGUAUAAAUAACGACUACAAAGUGAAGUUCCUUGCAAAAGACAAGCUCUUGAAAAGUCAAAUAAAGAUGAUACAAAAAUUAUGGUUUAAUAAAGUCUAUUUACUUACCACAAAAUCAGAGUUUCCACAAAAUGAAGUCUAUUUUCCAGUGAUAAUGUCUUUGGUAAGACAAUCCAGAU